Molecule: ribosomal RNA, 253 nt
Filed under: uncultured bacterium
Lineage: Bacteria
Description: partial 16S ribosomal RNA
Rfam family: Bacterial small subunit ribosomal RNA
Source: RNAcentral
UACAGAGGUCCCAAGCGUUGUUCGGAUUCACUGGGCGUAAAGGGUGCGUAGGUGGCCAGGUAAGUUCGGUGUGAAAGCUCGGAGCUUAACUCCGAAAUGGCAUUGAAUACUAUCUGGCUGGAGGGUCGGAGGGGAGACUGGAAUUCUCGGUGUAGCAGUGAAAUGCGUAGAUAUCGAGAGGAACACCAGUGGCGAAGGCGAGUCUCUGGACGACUCCUGACACUGAGGCACGAAAGCCAGGGGAGCAAACAGG